Sinocyclocheilus anshuiensis is the source of this 276-nucleotide long non-coding RNA. RefSeq lists it as uncharacterized. The record is from RefSeq and is a predicted model, not a curated record. The transcript has 3 exons. Lineage: Eukaryota; Metazoa; Chordata; Actinopteri; Cypriniformes; Cyprinidae.
GACUCAAUCAGUAUCAACGUGUGCUCAGAGGCGUCAUGGCCAUUCAAAGUGAUUUUAGAGCCAAGUGGAUUUUGAAUGCAGCUUCCAAAAGACAAAAAAUAACCGAAUAAUAUUUUCUAUAUUUGAAACAAUCACACCAGCAUGAUUAAAUUGUUCAGCGCGUCAUAUCAUCAGCUGUUAAAAUUCAAAUCUGCGUUCGCUGUCUGGCACUGAGCCAGAUACAGAUGCGUUUUACAGCACUGCGCAUUAUAAACAAUCACACACGAUGCUGUUGAG